RNAcentral lists this ribosomal RNA (252 nucleotides) under uncultured bacterium. Its description in RNAcentral is "partial 16S ribosomal RNA". It matches the Rfam family "Bacterial small subunit ribosomal RNA", at positions 524 to 776 of the family's 1533-position model. The record is from RNAcentral.
UACAGAGGGUGCAAGCGUUAAUCGGAAUUACUGGGCGUAAAGCGUGCGUAGACGGUUCCGUAGUCGGGUGUGAAAGCCCCGGGCUCAACCUGGGAAUUGCAUUCGAGACUGCGAAGCUAGGGUGCGGAAGAGGGAAGCGGAAUUUCUGGUGUAGCGGUGAAAUGCGUAGAUAUCAGAAGGAACAUCAGUGGCGAAAGCGGCUUCCUGGUCCAGCGCCGACGUUCAAGCACGAAAGCGUGGGGAGCAAACAGG